This 665-nucleotide small RNA is filed under the name Histoplasma capsulatum var. duboisii H88. RNAcentral describes it as "Histoplasma capsulatum H88 hypothetical RNA". Lineage: Eukaryota; Fungi; Ascomycota; Eurotiomycetes; Onygenales; Ajellomycetaceae. The record is from RNAcentral.
GGAUACCGGAGACGCUGGAGACGCUGGAGACGCUGGAGACGCCACAGAUACCGUUGGUUCGAGGAGGCAAAUCCAUGGGAAUAUCUGCGACCUUUCGUUUCUCGAACGACAAUGAAUCGAGGGUUCGUCAUGUUGUCUCCUUGGGAUAGUACUGGUAGGCAUGGCGAGACGGGGAACUGGCCAGAAGAGGUCAUAUUUACCCGGAGAGGCAUUCCGCGGGUAUUUUUCAUAAUGCUAGUAUAGAACCAACUUGAGAGAUGGCACUUUUUGAGUAGAAUACUCGUACAUGUCGAUCUCAAACCUGGGUUGGUGGUGAGUUAGUCAGUCACUCGGAGUCAACUAACCACUGCGUACUAUUUAAAAACAAGAACAGGACCGAAAAGGCCGAAAAGAAGAGAAAAGCUGACGACAACCCGGCAGCCAUGACAGCAACGAACAUGGAAUCAUUGCAUUGGCUGAAGAGCUUUAGGGUCUAGAGCCCUGUCUGGGUCUGCCUGUCUGCCUGUCUUCUUUUUAUUCUCAUUACUGUUUUAUAAAUUAUCUGAUCCAGAUUUGGAAGUCGUGCUUCCUUUUCAUAUUUAGGCCAUACCAAACAUACUAUUUAUUCGACAGUCAAAGCUCCCAGGGUCACUCAGCCUCAAACAUAUUUCACAUAUUUUACUGAC